ACUAUCGUUAACUGAAUACAUAGGUUAACGAGGCGAACCGGGGGAACUGAAACAUCUAAGUACCCCGAGGAAAAGAAAUCAACCGAGAUUCCCCCAGUAGCGGCGAGCGAACGGGGAGCAGCCCAGAGUCUGAAUCAGCUUGUGUGUUAGUGGAACGGUCUGGAAAGUCCGACGGUACAGGGUGAUAGUCCCGUACACCAAAAUGCACAGGUUGUGAACUCGAAGAGUAGGGCGGGACACGUGGUAUCCUGUCUGAAUAUGGGGGGACCAUCCUCCAAGGCUAAAUACUCCUGACUGACCGAUAGUGAACCAGUACCGUGAGGGAAAGGCGAAAAGAACCCCGGCGAGGGGAGUGAAAAAGAACCUGAAACCGUGUACGUACAAGCAGUGGGAGCACCUUCGGGUGUGACUGCGUACCUUUUGUAUAAUGGGUCAGCGACUUAUAUUCUGUAGCAAGGUUAACCGUAUAGGGGAGCCGCAGGGAAACCGAGUCUUAACUGGGCGUUAAGUUGCAGGGUAUAGACCCGAAACCCGGUGAUCUAGCCAUGGGCAGGUUGAAGGUUGGGUAACACUAACUGGAGGACCGAACCGACUAAUGUUGAAAAAUUAGCGGAUGACUUGUGGCUGGGGGUGAAAGGCCAAUCAAACCGGGAGAUAGCUGGUUCUCCCCGAAAGCUAUUUAGGUAGCGCCUCGUGAAUUCAUCUUCGGGGGUAGAGCACUGUUUCGGCUAGGGGGUCAUCCCGACUUACCAACCCGAUGCAAACUACGAAUACCGAAGAAUGUUAUCACGGGAGACACACGGCGGGUGCUAACGUCCGUCGUGAAGAGGGAAACAACCCAGACCGCCAGCUAAGGUCCCAAAGUCAUGGUUAAGUGGGAAACGAUGUGGGAAGGCACAGACAGCCAGGAUGUUGGCUUAGAAGCAGCCAUCAUUUAAAGAAAGCGUAAUAGCUCACUGGUCGAGUCGGCCUGCGCGGAAGAUGUAACGGGGCUAAACCAUGCACCGAAGCUGCGGCAGCGACACUAUGUGUUGUUGGGUAGGGGAGCGUUCUGUAAGCCUGCGAAGGUGACCUGUGAGGGUUGCUGGAGGUAUCAGAAGUGCGAAUGCUGACAUAAGUAACGAUAAAGCGGGUGAAAAGCCCGCUCGCCGGAAGACCAAGGGUUCCUGUCCAACGUUAAUCGGGGCAGGGUGAGUCGACCCCUAAGGCGAGGCCGAAAGGCGUAGUCGAUGGGAAACAGGUUAAUAUUCCUGUACUUGGUGUUACUGCGAAGGGGGGACGGAGAAGGCUAUGUUAGCCGGGCGACGGUUGUCCCGGUUUAAGCAUGUAGGCUGGUUAUCCAGGCAAAUCCGGAUAAUCAAGGCUGAGGUGUGAUGACGAGGCACUACGGUGCUGAAGUAACAAAUGCCCUGCUUCCAGGAAAAGCCUCUAAGCAUCAGGUAACAUCAAAUCGUACCCCAAACCGACACAGGUGGUCAGGUAGAGAAUACCAAGGCGCUUGAGAGAACUCGGGUGAAGGAACUAGGCAAAAUGGUGCCGUAACUUCGGGAGAAGGCACGCUGGUGUGUAGGUGAAGCCCCUGCGGGUGGAGCUGAGACCAGUCGAAGAUACCAGCUGGCUGCAACUGUUUAUUAAAAACACAGCACUGUGCAAACACGAAAGUGGACGUAUACGGUGUGACGCCUGCCCGGUGCCGGAAGGUUAAUUGAUGGGGUUAUCCGUAAGGAGAAGCUCUUGAUCGAAGCCCCGGUAAACGGCGGCCGUAACUAUAACGGUCCUAAGGUAGCGAAAUUCCUUGUCGGGUAAGUUCCGACCUGCACGAAUGGCGUAAUGAUGGCCAGGCUGUCUCCACCCGAGACUCAGUGAAAUUGAACUCGCUGUGAAGAUGCAGUGUACCCGCGGCAAGACGGAAAGACCCCGUGAACCUUUACUAUAGCUUGACACUGAACAUUGAGCCUUGAUGUGUAGGAUAGGUGGGAGGCUUUGAAGCGUGGACGCCAGUCUGCGUGGAGCCAACCUUGAAAUACCACCCUUUAAUGUUUGAUGUUCUAACGUUGGCCCCUGACCGGGGUUGCGGACAGUGUCUGGUGGGUAGUUUGACUGGGGCGGUCUCCUCCCAAAGCGUAACGGAGGAGCACGAAGGUUAGCUAAUCCUGGUCGGACAUCAGGAGGUUAGUGCAAUGGCAUAAGCUAGCUUGACUGCGAGCGUGACGGCGCGAGCAGGUGCGAAAGCAGGUCAUAGUGAUCCGGUGGUUCUGAAUGGAAGGGCCAUCGCUCAACGGAUAAAAGGUACUCCGGGGAUAACAGGCUGAUACCGCCCAAGAGUUCAUAUCGACGGCGGUGUUUGGCACCUCGAUGUCGGCUCAUCACAUCCUGGGGCUGAAGUAGGUCCCAAGGGUAUGGCUGUUCGCCAUUUAAAGUGGUACGCGAGCUGGGUUUAGAACGUCGUGAGACAGUUCGGUCCCUAUCUGCCGUGGGCGCUGGAGAAUUGAGGGGGGCUGCUCCUAGUACGAGAGGACCGGAGUGGACGCAUCACUGGUGUUCGGGUUGUCAUGCCAAUGGCACUGCCCGGUAGCUAAAUGCGGAAGAGAUAAGUGCUGAAAGCAUCUAAGCACGAAACUUGCCCCGAGAUGAGUUCUCCCUGAGACUUUAAGUCUCCUGAAGGAACGUUGAAGACGACGACGUUGAUAGGCCGGGUGUGUAAGCGCAGCGAUGCGUUGAGCUAACCGGUACUAAUGAACCGUGAGGCUUAACC
Molecule: ribosomal RNA, 2755 nt
Filed under: Klebsiella pneumoniae
Lineage: Bacteria; Pseudomonadati; Pseudomonadota; Gammaproteobacteria; Enterobacterales; Enterobacteriaceae
Description: bacterial LSU rRNA
Rfam family: Bacterial large subunit ribosomal RNA
Source: RNAcentral